UACGGAGGGGGCUAGCGUUGUUCGGAAUUACUGGGCGUAAAGCGCACGUAGGCGGCUUUGUAAGUUAGAGGUGAAAGCCCGGGGCUCAACUCCGGAAUUGCCUUUAAGACUGCAUCGCUCGAAUUGUGGAGAGGUAAGUGGAAUUCCGAGUGUAGAGGUGAAAUUCGUAGAUAUUCGGAAGAACUCCAGUGGCGAAGGCGACUUACUGGACACAUAUUGACGCUGAGGUGCGAAAGCGUGGGGAGCAAACAGG
Molecule: ribosomal RNA, 253 nt
Filed under: uncultured bacterium
Lineage: Bacteria
Description: partial 16S ribosomal RNA
Rfam family: Bacterial small subunit ribosomal RNA
Source: RNAcentral